AUUGAACGCUGGAGGCAGGCCUAACACAUGCAAGUCGAACGAGUGGCGGACGGGUGAGUAAUGUCUGGGAAACUGCCUGAUGGAGGGGGAUAACUACUGGAAACGGUAGCUAAUACCGCAUACCAUCGGAUGUGCCCAGAUGGGAUUAGCUAGUAGGUGGGGUAAAGGCUCACCUAGGCGACGAUCCCUAGCUGGUCUGAGAGGAUGACCAUCCACACUGGAACUGAGCCACGGUCCAGACUCCUACGGGCGGCAGCAGUGGGGAAUAUUGCACAAUGGGCGCAAGUCUGAUGCAGCCAUGCCUCGUGUAUGAAGAAGGCCUUCGGUUUUUAAAGUACUUACAGCGGGGAGGCGUUACCCGCAGAGGAAGCACCGGCUAACUCCGUGCCAGCAGCCGCGGUAAUUC
This 406-nucleotide ribosomal RNA is filed under the name uncultured bacterium. RNAcentral's name for it is "partial 16S ribosomal RNA". It matches the Rfam family "Bacterial small subunit ribosomal RNA", at positions 30 to 526 of the family's 1533-position model. The record is from RNAcentral.